GGAGGACUAGGGUAAGAGCACCCCCAUUCUCAGGAGCGGGAAGGAGGUGACUUCUCAUGCAGUUAGCCAAAGUAUUAACAUCUUAGCUUUGCAGAGGAAAAAAUUUAAAAGAAGCUAAUGGGUUCAUCUCAGCCAAUAUUUGGAGGCAACAGCAAGGCUUCCCCAGAACUUUCCAAGUCUGACACAAAACCCAGAAGCAACAAAGGAAAAGAAUGACAGAUUUAAGUGCAUGAAGUCUAAAUAUAUCCUGCAGGGCUCAAGAAACCAUAAGCAAAGGUAAAGCCAAAUACGAACAGGUAAAAGAUGAUAUAUGUACAAGAAACCUGUUAAAUGACACUAAUACAUAAAAAAGCUUCAACAAUUCAGUAAGAAAAAGACAAUUCAGCAGGAAAAAGUGGGCAAGUAACAUGGGACUUGUAGAAGAAAUACAAACACACACUUUAAGGGCGUCAACAUUUUUUUUUUCGACACAGGGACUUGCUACGUAGUUCUGACUGCAGCAGUGCUCCUACCUCAUCUCGUCGUAGUGCUGGGAUUAUAGGCAUGCAUCACCAUACCUGGGAUCGAACUCAGGACCUUGCGCUUUCGCUUUCAAGGCAGGCUGCAGAACCACUGAGCUAAAUCCCCCGGCCCUGAAGACUGAAGCCAUUGACCAGUGUCUGCUACCAAAGUGGUCUACCACACCACGGAGCCACGCCUCAGCCCCAAUGAAAGUAUUGGUAAUCAGAUGACCUAGGACUUCCCAACUG
RNAcentral lists this long non-coding RNA (749 nucleotides) under Heterocephalus glaber (naked mole-rat). RNAcentral's name for it is "lncRNA (ENSHGLG00100047984.1)". The record is from RNAcentral. Lineage: Eukaryota; Metazoa; Chordata; Mammalia; Rodentia; Bathyergidae.